This 393-nucleotide unclassified non-coding RNA is filed under the name soil metagenome. RNAcentral's name for it is "partial contains 5.8S ribosomal RNA, internal transcribed spacer 2, and large subunit ribosomal RNA". The stretch from base 1 to 122 matches the Rfam family "5.8S ribosomal RNA", at positions 35 to 154 of the family's 154-position model. The record is from RNAcentral.
GAUGAAGAACGUAGCGAAAUGCGAUACUUGGUGUGAAUUGCAGAAUCCCGUGAACCAUCGAGUCUUUGAACGCAAGUUGCGCCCGAAGCCAUCAGGUUGAGGGCACGUCUGCCUGGGCGUCACAUAUCGUUGCUCGAUGCCUAUCGCAUUGCGAUAGGACUUAGGGCGAAUGAUGGCUUCCCGUGAGCGUUGUUGCCUCGCGGUUGGUUGAAAAUCGAGUCCUUGGUAGGGUGUGCCAUGAUAGAUGGUGGUCGAGUUAGCACGAGCCCGAUCAUGUGCAUGCUCCCCAAAAUAUGGCCUCUGUGACCCACAUGCGUCUUUGGAACGCUCAUGACGAGACCUCAGGUCAGGCGGGGCUACCCGCUGAGUUUAAGCAUAUCAAUAAGCGGAGGA